RNAcentral lists this ribosomal RNA (484 nucleotides) under uncultured bacterium. RNAcentral's name for it is "partial 16S ribosomal RNA". It matches the Rfam family "Bacterial small subunit ribosomal RNA", at positions 30 to 507 of the family's 1533-position model. The record is from RNAcentral.
AUUGAACGCUGGCUGCAGGCCUAACACAUGCAAGUCGAGCGGAUGAAGGGAGCUUGCUCCUGGAUUCAGCGGCGGACGGGUGAGUAAUGCCUAGGAAUCUGCCUGGUAGUGGGGGAUAACGUCCGGAAACGGGCGCUAAUACCGCAUACGUCCUGAGUGAGAAAGUGGGGGAUCUUCGGACCUCACGCUAUCAGAUGAGCCUAGGUCGGAUUAGCUAGUUGGUGGGGUAAAGGCCUACCAAGGCGACGAUCCGUAACUGGUCUGAGAGGAUGAUCAGUCACACUGGAACUGAGACACGGUCCAGACUCCUACGGGAGGCAGCAGUGGGGAAUAUUGGACAAUGGGCGAAAGCCUGAUCCAGCCAUGCCGCGUGUGUGAAGAAGGUCUUCGGAUUGUAAAGCACUUUAAGUUGGGAGGAAGGGCAGUAAGUUAAUACCUUGCUGUUUUGACGUUACCAACAGAAUAAGCACCGGCUAACUUCGUG